Molecule: long non-coding RNA, 893 nt
Organism: Daphnia magna
Lineage: Eukaryota; Metazoa; Arthropoda; Branchiopoda; Diplostraca; Daphniidae
Exons: 2
Source: RefSeq, a predicted model, not a curated record
ACGUCUUUGCGGAAACUACUAGAAUCGACUAGAAUGGAUGUUAAUUGCUCAAUUAACAGCUGAAGAAUAAGCAAGAGCAUGUAGACGUUGAUUCUUAUGAUUCCUAUUUGCCGCAUGCAAUCCCUGCAUUGCAAGACCCAUGGCCUGGAAUGCAUAAUUAACCACCAAAAGACGGUGAUCAUCGCUUCUAAAAGUAGGUCAAUAAAUGAAAUAGAAGCGACACACCCUUUUUUGCCGGCUACAUAAACUCGUUUGAAGGUGAUUCAAGACAUCAGUUGUUCAAUUCAUCAAAAGUACGCAACACGAAACUAACAAAUGGAAUUUCUUUUGAUUUUAUUGGUUUACAUUUUCAUCGCUUAUUGAAAAGUUUCAAUUUCUUUUCGUAGUUUGUCAUCGGCACUUUCUUGGCUAUUGCUGCCGCUGCGCCUUCCAGCAACAAGCCGGAAUACAAAGCUCCUAGCUAUACUACCCCAAACUUCCCUGCACCAAAGUACCCUACUACUAGCUAACCUGCACCAGCUUACUCUACUCCCAGCUACAACAAGGAUAACAAAUACGCUGAUAUCACCAUCACCAGCCAAUCUGACGAACGCAUCCUCGAUGGCAGCAGCCAAUGGAGGUCUGGGAAUGGCUGAAAAGAGUGACGCAAAAGUCAGGACAGUUUGAAAAAUGAUUGGAAUAAUGACCACACUGGCUGGAUACAUGGAAAGGAAAGGCUAUAAACUCCAAAUGGAGGAAAUUAGGUGUCCACAUGAAUUAUAAACGGUGGAUUAAUUGGACGACCAAACCCACUCUUUUUUCACGUUCUCUGCAGUUAACCAUCACAAAUAUGUUUUUAUUCUGUUUUAUAUAAAUCAGGCAGAAAUGUAAAUAAAUUUUUGUCGUGACCCUCG